AACGCACCUUGCGCUCUAUGGCAAUCCGUAGAGCAUGCCUGUUUGAGUGCCAUGAAAUCUCCCACCCCAAGCGGUUUUUAAAUGAAACGGCUUGGCGGAUGGGGUCUGGAUGGGUGCCUCUGCCUGCGCUACCUAGCACAGGCUCGCCCGAAAUGCAUGCGCGCCUUGAGACACUUUGCAUCCGCCUCUCUGUUUGGGAGGAGGCGGCCAAGCAGUGUUUUUCUCCUGGCAGGGUAUGAUACGUCAUUUGGUAUGUCGCCUAAAGGAGGAAUGUUUAGUUGUGUCUGUGUGUGCUUCAACCUUGCCGCUGUGGCACAUCCCAAUUUCCCUUCUGGUCUCAAAGCAGGGAGGAUCACCCGCUGAACU
RNAcentral lists this unclassified non-coding RNA (366 nucleotides) under uncultured fungus. Its description in RNAcentral is "partial contains ITS1, 5.8S rRNA and ITS2". The record is from RNAcentral. Lineage: Eukaryota; Fungi.